This is a non-coding RNA of Zootoca vivipara (common lizard), 159 nucleotides long. NCBI's taxonomy places the organism in Eukaryota, Metazoa, Chordata, Lepidosauria, Squamata, Lacertidae. The record is from RefSeq and is a predicted model, not a curated record.
GUACUUUCCUGGCAGGGGAGACACCUUGAUCAUGAAGGAGGUUUCCCCAGGGUGAGGCUCAUCCAUUGCACUGCGGGUGUGCUGACCCCUGUGAUUCCCCCCCCCCCCAAAAAAUAAAACAAAGUCCUCUAGCAUGAGUCAAGAAACUCAAAGCUGGCC